CCUACGGGCGGCAGCAGUGAGGAAUAUUGGUCAAUGGACGAGAGUCUGAACCAGCCAAGUAGCGUGCAGGAUGACUGCCCUAUGGGUUGUAAACUUCUUUUAUAUGGGAAUAAUAUGUUCUACGUGUGGGUUUUUGUAUGUAUCAUACGAAUAAGGAUCGGCUAACUCCGUGCCAGCAGCCGCGGUAAUACGGAGGAUCCGAGCGUUAUCCGGAUUUAUUGGGUUUAAAGGGUGCGUAGGUGGAUUGUUAAGUCAGUUGUGAAAGUUUGCGGCUCAACCGUAGAAUUGCAGUUGAUACUGGCAGUCUUGAGUACAGUAGAGGUGGGCGGAAUUCGUGGUGUAGCGGUGAAAUGCUUAGAGAUCACGAAGAACUCCGAUUGCGAAGGCAGCUCACUGAACUGCAACUGACACUGAGGCACGAAAGUGUGGGUAUCAAACAGGAUUAGAUACCCUAGUAGUC
Molecule: ribosomal RNA, 460 nt
Filed under: uncultured bacterium
Lineage: Bacteria
Description: partial 16S ribosomal RNA
Rfam family: Bacterial small subunit ribosomal RNA
Source: RNAcentral